AACAGGAUUAGAUACCCUGGUAGUCCACGCCGUAAACGAUGUCGACUUGGAGGCUGUUCCCUUGAGGAGUGGCUUCCGGAGCUAACGCGUUAAGUCGACCGCCUGGGGAGUACGGCCGCAAGGUUAAAACUCAAAUGAAUUGACGCGGGCCCGCACAAGCGGUGGAGCAUGUGGUUUAAUCCGAUGCAACGCGAAGAACCUUACCUACUCUUGACAUCCAGAGAAUUUAGCAGAGAUGCUUUAGUGCCUUCGGGAACUCUGAGACAGGUGCUGCAUGGCUGUCGUCAGCUCGUGUUGUGAAAUGUUGGGUUAAGUCCCGCAACGAGCGCAACCCUUAUCCUUUGUUGCCAGCGCGUAAUGGCGGGAACUCAAAGGAGACUGCCGGUGAUAAACCGGAGGAAGGUGGGGAUGACGUCAAGUCAUCAUGGCCCUUACGAGUAGGGCUACACACGUGCUACAAUGGCGCAUACAAAGAGAAGCGACCUCGCGAGAGCAAGCGGACCUCAUAAAGUGCGUCGUAGUCCGGAUUGGAGUCUGCAACUCGACUCCAUGAAGUCGGAAUCGCUAGUAAUCGUAAAUCAGAAUGUUACGGUGAAUACGUUCCCGGGCCUUGUACACACCGCCCGUCACACCAUGGGAGUGGGUUGCAAAAGAAGUAGAUAGCUUAACCUUCGGGAGGGCGUUUACCACUUUGUGAUUCAUGACUGGGGUGAAGUCGUAACAAGGUAACCGUAGGGGAACCUGCGGCUGGAUCACCUCCUU
Molecule: ribosomal RNA, 762 nt
Filed under: uncultured bacterium
Lineage: Bacteria
Description: bacterial SSU rRNA
Rfam family: Bacterial small subunit ribosomal RNA
Source: RNAcentral